UAAAUUCGCGUUUUAUAUUGGUAACCCCGGAUUCAACCUCCAUCCGCGGGGACCGAAGGAGUCUUGCGGGGUUUCAGCAGCGCCGUCGCGGUAAGAUUUCAAACAUUCUCCGUCGCUAUAGCACCUGAGGACAGAAGUUGUUCAUGUUAUUUAGAGUUUUUGUUCACACCAGGAGUGAAGGCGUAUGUGACGAGCUACAGUUCAUUGUAUUAGUAAGUUGACGGUUGUUUUUUUAAUGUUGAACAUCGCGCCCGCCGUAGACUCGGUAAAAGUUACUUGCUUCGACAGUUGGGAUACCACACUCGCUCGUGAUUAUUUUGUGGUGUAAUUCAAAUUUGCAAAUGCAGUCAUCCGUUAAAUCGAGCGCCCAAAUUAAAAUGAGUCACCAUAGCUUGAGGUAAGUCGAUGUUCACGGAGGAUAGCCCGGUAAAGUGAUUAAUGUACGUAACCAUCUAGAUAUACAGUUUAUGUAUCGGAGGCCAGCUGAGAGCUUGAGCAAAAGACGUUAGCGACACCCUCAUUGUAUAGCAGGCCUGUCUCCCAAAUAGGACCGUUGGAGGGUGGGAGUGAGACCCGUUACAAAAUACUAGUGUGACAAUUUCUUGACCGUGACAUCCCUAACGUUAGUUGGAUUACAUUUCUGUAUAAGUACGGUUUUAAGUGUAAGUUACUCUGUUUAAUUUGCUUAGAGUUUGUUUGUAGAGUCACUUAUACUAAAAUGUAGUUUAAAUGUAAAAUGCUUAAAGAUAAUUGUAUAGUCACUAUUAACUAUUACUAUUGUCACAUGUAUAAUUGUUUGUUUUAGGACACACUUUGCCAUGCAGGCCACUGGAUGCUGACUACUGAAGGUUAGGUUGUGUGUGACGGUGCUCAGCACAGCUUCAUGUCUGGCCUUCCCACUCUGUUGAUAGCAUGUUACAUAUUCAAUCUUGAGUACCAGGAUGGGGCAGCAUGUACUUGGAGUCCAAUGAAAGAUAUUAAUCCAGAGAGUGGAACAAGAAGCGUCAUCUAAAAUGCCAGGAUACAGAAGAAACAGGUUGCAGUGAACCCACAUGUCGCCGCUCUUCUAAACACAAUGAUGAAUAUUCAGUGUAAUCGAUGAAAAUUCCAGCUACUUGUUGUGCUCUGAUGGAUCAAGAUGUGGACCGUUUUACAGACUCACUUUGGCCUUGUUUUGCAAUGUUGUUUCAUGAUGGUAAUGUUGGUUAACGUGUUGUUUAAACAUGAAUGUUUAAAGAGCCAUGUUGGAUACUAUGAAGUUGUU
Molecule: long non-coding RNA, 1264 nt
Organism: Triplophysa dalaica
Lineage: Eukaryota; Metazoa; Chordata; Actinopteri; Cypriniformes; Nemacheilidae
Exons: 3
Source: RefSeq, a predicted model, not a curated record